This 253-nucleotide ribosomal RNA is filed under the name uncultured bacterium. RNAcentral's name for it is "partial 16S ribosomal RNA". It matches the Rfam family "Bacterial small subunit ribosomal RNA", at positions 524 to 776 of the family's 1533-position model. The record is from RNAcentral.
UACGUAGGGGCCGAGCGUUGUCCGGAGUUACUGGGCGUAAAGCGCGCGCAGGCGGCCAUGCGCGCCCGGCGUGAAAGCCCCCGGCUCAACCGGGGAGGGUCGUCGGGGACGGCAUGGCUUGAGGGCGGUAGGGGCCGGUGGAAUCCCUGGUGUAGUGGUGAAAUGCGUAGAGAUCAGGGGGAACACCCGUGGCGAAGGCGGCCGGCUGGGCCGACCCUGACGCUGAGGCGCGAAGGCGUGGGGAGCGAACAGG